Microcebus murinus (gray mouse lemur) is the source of this 306-nucleotide unclassified non-coding RNA. Its record names the gene 7SK. It matches the Rfam family "7SK RNA". From Rfam's summary of the family: 7SK was discovered as an abundant small nuclear RNA in the mid-70s but a possible function has only recently been suggested. Two independent studies have found that 7SK RNA binds the CDK9/cyclin T complex (known as elongation factor P-TEFb). P-TEFb activates transcription by phosphorylating the C-terminal domain of RNA polymerase II. NCBI's taxonomy places the organism in Eukaryota, Metazoa, Chordata, Mammalia, Primates, Cheirogaleidae. The record is from Ensembl.
GGAUGUGAGGGCAAUCUGGCUGUGACACCUGUCAUCCCAUUGAUCUCCAGGGUUGAUCUGGCUGAUCUGGCUGGCUGGGCAGGUAUCCCCUUCCUCACUCACCACUCCCUGUGUGUCCCUCCUGAAGCUGCAUGCUUGGUCGAAGAGGAUGACCUUCCCCAAUAGAGGAGGACUGUUCUUCUGUCAAGGGUACACAAGUAGCUGCACCGCCCUGCUAGAACCUCUAAACACGCUCUCAAAUAUGUGGCAUAUGUUUAACAUAGCAUAUGCUUAAUAAAUGCUUCACUAGGAACUACAAAAAUAUUU